RNAcentral lists this ribosomal RNA (510 nucleotides) under uncultured bacterium. RNAcentral describes it as "partial 16S ribosomal RNA". It matches the Rfam family "Bacterial small subunit ribosomal RNA", at positions 28 to 507 of the family's 1533-position model. The record is from RNAcentral.
GACGAACGCUGGCGGCGUGCUUAACACAUGCAAGUCGAACGAAGAGCGAUGGAAGCUUGCUUCUAUCAAUCUUAGUGGCGAACGGGUGAGUAACGCGUAAUCAACCUGCCCUUCAGAGGGGGACAACAGUUGGAAACGACUGCUAAUACCGCAUACGAUCUAAUCUCGGCAUCGAGGAUAGAUGAAAGGUGGCCUCUACAUGUAAGCUAUCACUGAAGGAGGGGAUUGCGUCUGAUUAGCUAGUUGGAGGGGUAACGGCCCACCGAGGCGAUGAUCAGUAGCCGGUCUGGGAGGAUGAACGGCCACAUUGGGACUGAGACACGGCCCAGACUCCUACGGGAGGCAGCAGUGGGGAAUCUUCCGCAAUGGACGAAAGUCUGACGGAGCAACGCCGCGUGAGUGAUGACGGCCUUCGGGUUGUAAAGCUCUGUUAAUCGGGACGAAAGGCCUUCUUGCGAAUAGUGAGAAGGAUUGACGGUACCGGAAGAGAAAGCCACGGCUAACUACGUG